UAUUGGACAAUGGGCGCGAGCCUGAUCCAGCCAUGCCGCGUGGAUGAUGAAGGCCUUAGGGUUGUAAAGUCCUUUUAACGGGGAAGAUAAUGACGGUACCCGUAGAAUAAGCCCCGGCUAACUUCGUGCCAGCAGCCGCGGUAAUACGAAGGGGGCUAGCGUUGCUCGGAAUUACUGGGCGUAAAGCGCACGUAGGCGGGUUCUUAAGUCGGUGGUGAAAUCCUGGAGCUCAACUCCAGAACUGCCUUCGAUACUGGGAAUCUUGAGUCCGGGAGAGGUGAGUGGAACUGCGAGUGUAGAGGUGAAAUUCGUAGAUAUUCGCAAGAACACCAGUGGCGAAGGCGGCUCACGGCCCGGUACUGACGCUGAGGUGCGAAA
This 378-nucleotide ribosomal RNA is filed under the name uncultured bacterium. RNAcentral's name for it is "bacterial SSU rRNA". It matches the Rfam family "Bacterial small subunit ribosomal RNA", at positions 362 to 758 of the family's 1533-position model. The record is from RNAcentral.